UAGGGAAUCUUCGGCAAUGGGGGGAACCCUGACCGAGCAAUGCCGCGUGAGUGAAGAAGGUUUUCGGAUCGUAAAGCUCUGUUGUUAAGGAAGAACGAGUGUGAGAAUGGAAAGUUCAUGCUGUGACGGUACUUAACCAGAAAGGGACGGCUAACUACGUGCCAGCAGCCGCGGUAAUACGUAGGUCCCGAGCGUUGUCCGGAUUUAUUGGGCGUAAAGCGAGCGCAGGCGGUUAGAAAAGUCUGAAGUGAAAGGCAGUGGCUCAACCAUUGUAGGCUUUGGAAACUGUUUAACUUGAGUGCAGAAGGGGAGAGUGGAAUUCCAUGUGUAGCGGUGAAAUGCGUAGAUAUAUGGAGGAACACCGGUGGCGAAAGCGGCUCUCUGGUCUGUAACUGACGCUGAGGCUCGAAAGCGUGGGGAGCGAACAGG
RNAcentral lists this ribosomal RNA (429 nucleotides) under Bacteroidota bacterium. RNAcentral describes it as "Bacteroidetes bacterium partial 16S ribosomal RNA". It matches the Rfam family "Bacterial small subunit ribosomal RNA", at positions 355 to 776 of the family's 1533-position model. The record is from RNAcentral. Lineage: Bacteria; Pseudomonadati; Bacteroidota. RNAcentral also lists the same sequence under 1 other name.